UUCGCAAUGCCCGAAAGGGUGAACGAGCGACGCCGCGUGCGGGAUGAAGGCCUUCGGGUUGUAAACCGCUUUUGCAAGGGAAAAAUUUAAUGAUGGUACCUUGCGAAUAAGAGGUUACUAACUCUGUGCCAGCAGUAGCGGUAAUACGUAUGGUGCGAACGUUGUUCGGAAUCACUGGGCAUAAAGAGCACGUAGGCGGUUGAGCAAGUCCAUUGUGAAAUCCCCCGGCUUAACCGGGGAACUGCAGUGGAUACUACUUGACUUGAGUGCAGGAGGGGAGAGUGGAAUUCCAGGUGGAGCGGUGAAAUGCGUAGAUAUCUGGAGGAACGCCGGUGGCGAAAGCGGUGCACUGGUGGAUUUCUGACGCUGAGGUGCGAAAGCCAGGGGAGCAAACGGGAUUAGAUACCCCGGUAGUCCUGGCCGUAAACGAUGGGCACUAAGUAGAGGGGUUUU
Molecule: ribosomal RNA, 453 nt
Filed under: uncultured bacterium
Lineage: Bacteria
Description: bacterial SSU rRNA
Rfam family: Bacterial small subunit ribosomal RNA
Source: RNAcentral